Molecule: ribosomal RNA, 447 nt
Filed under: uncultured bacterium
Lineage: Bacteria
Description: bacterial SSU rRNA
Rfam family: Bacterial small subunit ribosomal RNA
Source: RNAcentral
AUGCCAGACUCCUACGGGAGGCAGCAGUGGGGAAUAUUGCACAAUGGGGGAAACCCUGAUGCAGCAACGCCGCGUGAGUGAAGAAGUCUUUCGGUCUGUAAAGCUCUAUCAGCAGGGAAGAAAAUGACGGUACCUGAGUAAGAAGCCCCGGCUAACUACGUGUCAGCAGCCGCGGUAAUACGUAGGGGGCAAGCGUUAUCCGGAUUUACUGGGUGUAAAGGGAGCGUAGACGGCGAUACAAGUCUGAAGUGAAAGCCCGGGGCUCAACCCCGGGACUGCUUUGGAAACUGUGUUGCUGGAGUGCUGGAGAGGCAAGCGGAAUUCCUAGUGUAGCGGUGAAAUGCGUAGAUAUUAGGAGGAACACCAGUGGCGAAGGCGGCCUACUGGACGGUGACUGACGCUGAGGCUCGAAAGCGUGGGGAGCAAACAGGAUUAGAUACCCUAGUA